Oncorhynchus mykiss (rainbow trout) is the source of this 734-nucleotide non-coding RNA. The record is from RefSeq and is a predicted model, not a curated record. Lineage: Eukaryota; Metazoa; Chordata; Actinopteri; Salmoniformes; Salmonidae.
CAUGGUCCCUUUCCUCAGUAAUACAGGUGCGAUUGAAGCAGGUGUUAAACAUGGUCCCUUUCCUCAGUAAUACAGGUACGAUUGAAGCAGGUGUUAAACAUGGUCCCUUUCCUCAGUAAUACAGGUACGAUUGAAGCAGGUGUUAAACAUGGUCCCUUUCCUCAGUAAUACAGGUGUGAUUGAAGCAGGUGUUAAACAUGGUCCCUUUCCUCAGUAAUACAGGUACGAUUGAAGCAGGUGUUAAACAUGGUCCCUUUCCUCAGUAAUACAGGUACGAUUGAAGCAGGUGUUAAACAUGGUCCCUUUCCUCAGUAAUACAGGUGUGAUUGAAGCAGGUGUUAAACAUGGUCCCUUUCCUCAGUAAUACAGGUGCGAUUGAAGCAGGUGUUAAACAUGGUCCCUUUCCUCAGUAAUACAGGUACGAUUGAAGCAGGUGUUAAACAUGGUCCCUUUCCUCAGUAAUACAGGUGUGAUUGAAGCAGGUGUUAAACAUGGUCCCUUUCCUCAGUAAUACAGGUGCGAUUGAAGCAGGUGUUAAACAUGGUCCCUUUCCUCAGUAAUACAGGUACGAUUGAAGCAGGUGUUAAACAUGGUCCCUUUCCUCAGUAAUACAGGUACGAUUGAAGCAGGUGUUAAACAUGGUCCCUUUCCUCAGUAAUACAGGUGUGAUUGAAGCAGGUGUUAAACAUGGUCCCUUUCCUCAGUAAUACAGGUGCGAUUGAAGCAGGUGUUAA